This 868-nucleotide ribosomal RNA is filed under the name uncultured Alphaproteobacteria bacterium. Its description in RNAcentral is "bacterial SSU rRNA". It matches the Rfam family "Bacterial small subunit ribosomal RNA", at positions 1 to 911 of the family's 1533-position model. The record is from RNAcentral. Lineage: Bacteria; Pseudomonadati; Pseudomonadota; Alphaproteobacteria.
CCGCGGGAUUAGAGUUUGAUCCUGGCUCAGAGCGAACGCUGGCGGCAGGCUUAACACAUGCAAGUCGAGCGGGCGUAGCAAUACGUCAGCGGCAGACGGGUGAGUAACGCGUGGGAACAUACCUUUUGGUUCGGAACAACACAGGGAAACUUGUGCUAAUACCGGAUAAGCCCUUACGGGGAAAGAUUUAUCGCCGAAAGAUUGGCCCGCGUCUGAUUAGCUAGUUGGUGAGGUAACGGCUCACCAAGGCGACGAUCAGUAGCUGGUCUGAGAGGAUGAUCAGCCACAUUGGGACUGAGACACGGCCCAAACUCCUACGGGAGGCAGCAGUGGGGAAUAUUGGACAAUGGGCGCAAGCCUGAUCCAGCCAUGCCGCGUGAGUGAUGAAGGCCCUAGGGUUGUAAAGCUCUUUUGUGCGGGAAGAUAAUGACGGUACCGCAAGAAUAAGCCCCGGCUAACUUCGUGCCAGCAGCCGCGGUAAUACGAAGGGGGCUAGCGUUGCUCGGAAUCACUGGGCGUAAAGGGUGCGUAGGCGGGUCUUUAAGUCAGGGGUGAAAUCCUGGAGCUCAACUCCAGAACUGCCUUUGAUACUGAGGAUCUUGAGUUCGGGAGAGGUGAGUGGAACUGCGAGUGUAGAGGUGAAAUUCGUAGAUAUUCGCAAGAACACCAGUGGCGAAGGCGGCUCACUGGCCCGAUACUGACGCUGAGGCACGAAAGCGUGGGGAGCAAACAGGAUUAGAUACCCUGGUAGUCCACGCCGUANACGAUGAAUGCCAGCCGUUAGUGGGUUUACUCACUAGUGGCGCAGCUAACGCUUUAAGCAUUCCGCCUGGGGAGUACGGUCGCAAGAUUAAAACUCAAAGGAAUU